GACGAACGCUGGCGGCGUGCCUCAGACAUGCAAGUCGAACGCGAAAGUCCCCUUCGGGGGACGAAGUAGAGUGGCGCACGGGUGAGUAACACGUAGGUAAUCUACCUUCGGAUGGGGAAGUAACAACCGGAAACGGUUGCUAAUACCGCAUAAUGCAGCGGCACCUAAUGGUGACAGUUGUUAAAGCGGGGGAUCAAAGACCUCGCGUCUGAAGAGGAGCCUGCGGCGGAUUAGCUAGNGGUUAAGGUAAUGGCUUACCAAGGCUACGAUCCGUAACCGGCCUGAGAGGGCGGGUCGGUCACACUGACACUGACAUACGGGUC
RNAcentral lists this ribosomal RNA (323 nucleotides) under uncultured bacterium. RNAcentral's name for it is "bacterial SSU rRNA". It matches the Rfam family "Bacterial small subunit ribosomal RNA", at positions 28 to 332 of the family's 1533-position model. The record is from RNAcentral.